Molecule: unclassified non-coding RNA, 456 nt
Filed under: Hevea brasiliensis (rubber tree)
Lineage: Eukaryota; Viridiplantae; Streptophyta; Magnoliopsida; Malpighiales; Euphorbiaceae
Source: RNAcentral
GGACCACACGGUCUCCAGUCAGAAGUACCAACUCACAUGCACAUUUGUGAUCACCAAUAUGCAUUUCUGGUUACAGGGUGAUACACAAAUAAAACUAAGAUUGUUCCUAACAGAAUGGAAAGUUCAAGUAGUCUUCUUCCUUUAGUUUGUGUGAGAGAGAGACUGAUUCUCAAUGCACUAGCGCAGGCACAUGCAUAGACAAGUCAUUUGAAUUAUAGAACAAAAUGUCACCACAUUUAAGUCAAAAUGACACAGAAUAAGGCAAUAAAAUUGCAGUUCAAACAUCUAGUGAUCCUGUUAUUCAUAACUUACUAUUUGAAAUACCUCAAUAAUAUUCGGCAUCAAACACAAAAUCUUCAUGUUUUUGCUAUUUUGAAAAGGCAUAACAGAACUGCAUAUAUGUUUAUUGCAUGCAUUGACAGAUGAAAAACCUUACCACAGGUUCAACUUCCAAAA